ACUGAUGGGCAUAGGGGAUUCGUCCCCUAUGUUAAAGUACAUUGCAGGUCCAAAGUCCUG
Molecule: non-coding RNA, 60 nt
Filed under: unclassified sequences
Source: RNAcentral